GGUUCGGUUCCGUACGACGUCGUCGUCGUCGUAGAGUGUUCGGGUUAAGUCCCGCAACGAGCGCAACCCCUAUCCUCAGUUGCCAUCAUUAAGUUGGGCACUCUGUGGAGACUGCCGGUGUCAAACCGGAGGAAGGUGGGGAUGACGUCAAGUCCUCAUGGCCCUUAUGACCAGGGCUACACACGUGCUACAAUGGCCGGUACAAAGAGUUGCGAUACCGCGAGGUGGAGCUAAUCUCAUAAAGCCGGUCUCAGUUCGGAUUGGAGUCUGCAACUCGACUCCAUGAAGUUGGAAUCGCUAGUAAUCGCGGAUCAGCACGCCGCGGUGAAUACGUUCCCGGGCCUU
This 345-nucleotide ribosomal RNA is filed under the name uncultured Geobacter sp. RNAcentral's name for it is "bacterial SSU rRNA". It matches the Rfam family "Bacterial small subunit ribosomal RNA", at positions 1032 to 1382 of the family's 1533-position model. Lineage: Bacteria; Pseudomonadati; Thermodesulfobacteriota; Desulfuromonadia; Geobacterales; Geobacteraceae. The record is from RNAcentral.